This 2763-nucleotide ribosomal RNA is filed under the name Escherichia coli. RNAcentral's name for it is "23S ribosomal RNA". It matches the Rfam family "Bacterial large subunit ribosomal RNA". The record is from RNAcentral. Lineage: Bacteria; Pseudomonadati; Pseudomonadota; Gammaproteobacteria; Enterobacterales; Enterobacteriaceae.
GGUUAAGCGACUAAGCGUACACGGUGGAUGCCCUGGCAGUCAGAGGCGAUGAAGGACGUGCUAAUCUGCGAUAAGCGUCGGUAAGGUGAUAUGAACCGUUAUAACCGGCGAUUUCCGAAUGGGGAAACCCAGUGUGNNNNNNNNNNNNNNNNNNNNNNNNNNNNNNNNNNNNNNNNNNNNNNNNNNNNNNNNNNNNNNNNNNNNNNNNNNNNNNNNUGUGAGCUCGAUGAGUAGGGCGGGACACGUGGUAUCCUGUCUGAAUAUGGGGGGACCAUCCUCCAAGGCUAAAUACUCCUGACUGACCGAUAGUGAACCAGUACCGUGAGGGAAAGGCGAAAAGAACCCCGGCGAGGGGAGUGAAAAAGAACCUGAAACCGUGUACGUACAAGCAGUGGGAGCACGCUUAGGCGUGUGACUGCGUACCUUUUGUAUAAUGGGUCAGCGACUUAUAUUCUGUAGCAAGGUUAACCGAAUAGGGGAGCCGAAGGGAAACCGAGUCUUAACUGGGCGUUAAGUUGCAGGGUAUAGACCCGAAACCCGGUGAUCUAGCCAUGGGCAGGUUGAAGGUUGGGUAACACUAACUGGAGGACCGAACCGACUAAUGUUGAAAAAUUAGCGGAUGACUUGUGGCUGGGGGUGAAAGGCCAAUCAAACCGGGAGAUAGCUGGUUCUCCCCGAAAGCUAUUUAGGUAGCGCCUCGUGAAUUCAUCUCCGGGGGUAGAGCACUGUUUCGGCAAGGGGGUCAUCCCGACUUACCAACCCGAUGCAAACUGCGAAUACCGGAGAAUGUUAUCACGGGAGACACACGGCGGGUGCUAACGUCCGUCGUGAAGAGGGAAACAACCCAGACCGCCAGCUAAGGUCCCAAAGUCAUGGUUAAGUGGGAAACGAUGUGGGAAGGCCCAGACAGCCAGGAUGUUGGCUUAGAAGCAGCCAUCAUUUAAAGAAAGCGUAAUAGCUCACUGGUCGAGUCGGCCUGCGCGGAAGAUGUAACGGGGCUAAACCAUGCACCGAAGCUGCGGCAGCGACGCUUAUGCGUUGUUGGGUAGGGGAGCGUUCUGUAAGCCUGCGAAGGUGUGCUGUGAGGCAUGCUGGAGGUAUCAGAAGUGCGAAUGCUGACAUAAGUAACGAUAAAGCGGGUGAAAAGCCCGCUCGCCGGAAGACCAAGGGUUCCUGUCCAACGUUAAUCGGGGCAGGGUGAGUCGACCCCUAAGGCGAGGCCGAAAGGCGUAGUCGAUGGGAAACAGGUUAAUAUUCCUGUACUUGGUGUUACUGCGAAGGGGGGACGGAGAAGGCUAUGUUGGCCGGGCGACGGUUGUCCCGGUUUAAGCGUGUAGGCUGGUUUUCCAGGCAAAUCCGGAAAAUCAAGGCUGAGGCGUGAUGACGAGGCACUACGGUGCUGAAGCAACAAAUGCCCUGCUUCCAGGAAAAGCCUCUAAGCAUCAGGUAACAUCAAAUCGUACCCCAAACCGACACAGGUGGUCAGGUAGAGAAUACCAAGGCGCUUGAGAGAACUCGGGUGAAGGAACUAGGCAAAAUGGUGCCGUAACUUCGGGAGAAGGCACGCUGAUAUGUAGGUGAAGUCCCUUGCGGAUGGAGCUGAAAUCAGUCGAAGAUACCAGCUGGCUGCAACUGUUUAUUAAAAACACAGCACUGUGCAAACACGAAAGUGGACGUAUACGGUGUGACGCCUGCCCGGUGCCGGAAGGUUAAUUGAUGGGGUCAGCGCAAGCGAAGCUCUUGAUCGAAGCCCCGGUAAACGGCGGCCGUAACUAUAACGGUCCUAAGGUAGCGAAAUUCCUUGUCGGGUAAGUUCCGACCUGCACGAAUGGCGUAAUGAUGGCCAGGCUGUCUCCACCCGAGACUCAGUGAAAUUGAACUCGCUGUGAAGAUGCAGUGUACCCGCGGCAAGACGGAAAGACCCCGUGAACCUUUACUAUAGCUUGACACUGAACAUUGAGCCUUGAUGUGUAGGAUAGGUGGGAGGCUUUGAAGUGUGGACGCCAGUCUGCAUGGAGCCGACCUUGAAAUACCACCCUUUAAUGUUUGAUGUUCUAACGUUGACCCGUAAUCCGGGUUGCGGACAGUGUCUGGUGGGUAGUUUGACUGGGGCGGUCUCCUCCUAAAGAGUAACGGAGGAGCACGAAGGUUGGCUAAUCCUGGUCGGACAUCAGGAGGUUAGUGCAAUGGCAUAAGCCAGCUUGACUGCGAGCGUGACGGCGCGAGCAGGUGCGAAAGCAGGUCAUAGUGAUCCGGUGGUUCUGAAUGGAAGGGCCAUCGCUCAACGGAUAAAAGGUACUCCGGGGAUAACAGGCUGAUACCGCCCAAGAGUUCAUAUCGACGGCGGUGUUUGGCACCUCGAUGUCGGCUCAUCACAUCCUGGGGCUGAAGUAGGUCCCAAGGGUAUGGCUGUUCGCCAUUUAAAGUGGUACGCGAGCUGGGUUUAGAACGUCGUGAGACAGUUCGGUCCCUAUCUGCCGUGGGCGCUGGAGAACUGAGGGGGGCUGCUCCUAGUACGAGAGGACCGGAGUGGACGCAUCACUGGUGUUCGGGUUGUCAUGCCAAUGGCACUGCCCGGUAGCUAAAUGCGGAAGAGAUAAGUGCUGAAAGCAUCUAAGCACGAAACUUGCCCCGAGAUGAGUUCUCCCUGACUCCUUGAGAGUCCUGAAGGAACGUUGAAGACGACGACGUUGAUAGGCCGGGUGUGUAAGCGCAGCGAUGCGUUGAGCUAACCGGUACUAAUGAACCGUGAGGCUUAACCUU